This 508-nucleotide ribosomal RNA is filed under the name uncultured Glomus. RNAcentral describes it as "SSU rRNA". It matches the Rfam family "Eukaryotic small subunit ribosomal RNA", at positions 569 to 1080 of the family's 1831-position model. The record is from RNAcentral. Lineage: Eukaryota; Fungi; Glomeromycota; Glomeromycetes; Glomerales; Glomeraceae.
AGCAGCCGCGGUAAUUCCAGCUCCAAUAGCGUAUAUUAAAGUUGUUGCAGUUAAAAAGCUCGUAGUUGAAUUUCGGGAUCAAUUUGCUGGUCGUGCCUCUGGUACGUACUGGUAUUAUUGGUUUCUCCCUUCUGACGAACCAUGAUGUCAUUAAUUUGAUGUCGUGGAUAAUCAGGACUGUUACUUUGAAAAAUUAGAGUGUUUAAAGCAGGCAUUAGCUUGAAUACAUUAGCAUGGAAUAAUGAAAUAGGACGUUUGAUCCUAUUUUGUUGGUUUCUAGGAUUGACGUAAUGAUUAAUAGGGAUAGUUGGGGGCAUUAGUAUUCAAUUGUCAGAGGUGAAAUUCUUGGAUUUAUUGAAGACUAACUACUGCGAAAGCAUUUGCCAAGGAUGUUUUCAUUAAUCAAGAACGAAAGUUAGGGGAUCGAAGACGAUCAGAUACCGUCGUAGUCUUAACCAUAAACUAUGCCGACUAGGGAUCGGAUGAUGUUAAUUUUUAAUGACUCAUU